Non-coding RNA from Oncorhynchus mykiss (rainbow trout), 1385 nucleotides. NCBI's taxonomy places the organism in Eukaryota, Metazoa, Chordata, Actinopteri, Salmoniformes, Salmonidae. The record is from RefSeq and is a predicted model, not a curated record.
CCCCCCAAUUUAGUGUUCUGUCCUGAGGUGAAAAGCUCUAAGGCGUGGAGGUUGUACAGAGAGACCCAGGAACAGGCCUGCUGUGUCGACAAGAUCUCAUAGUGUCCCUUUUGAAAUUCAACGUAUUAUGUAUGGGUAAACCUCUAUUUCUUGACACAUUAAAUCCACAUGGCUACCGGCUUAAACAACAUAAUAAAAAAACAAUGUGCUGUUUCCAUCAACUAUCACCAAGUAUUCUCUUGGCUUGCUAGAGUAUUGAGAAUUGUGGUGGCGCAGUGGUCUAAGCUGCAUGCUCUACCUCCAAGCAUUGUGAGUUUGCACCCAGUUCUGGGUGAGCUAAUUUUAUUGGGGGAGCGAAGAGGAAGACAUAUGUCCAAUGUUCUGGGGACAUUUUUUAAACAUCCGAAAUCGAAGUGACCAGGCUGGUUCUAGAGUAAACUGUAAAGCACUUUGUGACGACUGCCGACGUAAAAGGGGCUUUAUAAAAUACAUUUUCUAAACGGGAAGGACUUCUGUCAAGACUGAAAGGGACACAUAUUUCCAUUGAAUUCCAAAUUCAAUUUGUUGCGUUCCUAAACCUUUACGUUGUAAAUGAGGUUGUUGAUUGUACACCGCACUUAAUGUGGUGUUUGUUUCAGAUGGAUCAAUCAAUGGCCUCCAGGCUAAGCUUUGUUCAAAGACGGGAGCUAAACACCUUAAUAACGACAGCUAAUUGGUUGUUGUUGUAACGGGUGGCUAAACAAAAGGCCAGUGACAGAGGCAGACAUGUUUGACUGGUAGAGGUCAACAUUGAGGGGAAUGAAAGGACUGAAAGUGUUCAUUAAAGGGCUCUGUUGAUCUGCAGUGUAAUGACUCGGGGUCAAACACAAAAGCCAUGUAAUUAUCUUACACACACUCAGAAAUAGUUCACUCGGGCAGAUAUACCGUUGGAAAAAAAAACGGUCGGUUCUGGUCUACUUCACGGGGAGAGUCUCCCAUAGACACCAAUGCAAAAGCAGCUGGGUUUGGAUCGUUGUCCACAAACGCAGAGCUGUCAAGCUACUCCUAUUCCUCUUUUUGGAUUGGAAUCAUUUCUUUGAAUAUUUGAUGAGGAGUGUUAUCAACCGCCUGAAAUCUAUUUUUUUUUACACCUUUAUUUAACUAGGCGGGUCAGUUAAGAACAAAUUCUUAUUUUCAAUGACGCCUAGGAACAGUGGGUUAACUGCCUGUUCAGGGGCAGAACGACAUAUUUGUAUAUUGUCAGCUCGGGAUUUGAAUUUGCAAUCUUCCGGUUACUAGUCCAACGCUCUAACCACAAGGCUACCCUGCCGCCCCGUUCUAUGGUGAACGUAUUUCAAAUUCAUCGUCCUCAUGAAUAUGCAUAGACUGUCUUGGAUUUAAACAGG